This 331-nucleotide ribosomal RNA is filed under the name uncultured eukaryote. RNAcentral's name for it is "partial 18S ribosomal RNA". It matches the Rfam family "Eukaryotic small subunit ribosomal RNA", at positions 1470 to 1796 of the family's 1831-position model. The record is from RNAcentral.
CCCUUAGAUGUUCGGGGCCGCACGCGCGCUACACUGAAGGUAGCAGAGGGUGUGAUCGCUCCCGCCCCGAAGCGGGGCGGGUAAACCGUUGAACUACCUUCGUGGCUUGGGACCGGGGCUUGGAACUGUUGCCCGCGAACGAGGAAUUCCCAGUAAGCGCGAGUCAUAAGCUGGCGUUGAUUACGUCCCUGCCCUUUGUACACACCGCCCGUCGCUACUACCGAUUGAGUGAUCCGGUGAAUAAUUCGGACUGCAGCACUGCUUGGUCUCCAGGCUUUGCAGCGGAAAGUUUAGUGAACCUUAUCACUUAGAGGAAGGAGAAGUCGUAACA